AGCCAUGGGCAGGUUGAAGGUUGGGUAACACUAACUGGAGGACCGAACCGACUAAUGUUGAAAAAUUAGCGGAUGACCUGUGGCUGGGGGUGAAAGGCCAAUCAAACCGGGAGAUAGCUGGUUCUCCCCGAAAGCUAUUUAGGUAGCGCCUCGUGAAUUCAUCUCCGGGGGUAGAGCACUGUUUCGGCUAGGGGGCCAUCCCGGCUUACCAACCCGAUGCAAACUGCGAAUACCGGAGAAUGUUAUCACGGGAGACACACGGCGGGUGCUAACGUCCGUCGUGAAGAGGGAAACAACCCAGACCGCCAGCUAAGGUCCCAAAGUCAUGGUUAAGUGGGAAACGAUGUGGGAAGGCCCAGACAGCCAGGAUGUUGGCUUAGAAGCAGCCAUCAUUUAAAGAAAGCGUAAUAGCUCACUGGUCGAGUCGGCCUGCGCGGAAGAUGUAACGGGGCUAAACCAUGCACCGAAGCUGCGGCAGCGAACGUAUCACUUAAAGCGAUUCAGCGGGUUACGAUUGACGGAGCGAAGCGACGUCAAAGCGUAUACAAAGUCGAGUCGGUUUAAGGAUACGUUCGUUGGGUAGGGGAGCGUUCUGUAAGCCUGUGAAGGUGUGUCGUGAGGCAUGCUGGAGGUAUCAGAAGUGCGAAUGCUGACAUAAGUAACGAUAAAGCGGGUGAAAAGCCCGCUCGCCGGAAGACCAAGGGUUCCUGUCCAACGUUAAUCGGGGCAGGGUGAGUCGACCCCUAAGGCGAGGCCGAAAGGCGUAGUCGAUGGGAAACGGGUUAAUAUUCCCGUACUUGGUGUUACUGCGAAGGGGGGACGGAGAAGGCUAUGUUGGCCGGGCGACGGUUGUCCCGGUUUAAGCGUGUAGGUGUGUGUUCCAGGUAAAUCCGGUUCACUUUAACACUGAGGCGUGACGACGAGGCACUACGGUGCUGAAGCAACAAAUGCCCUGCUUCCAGGAAAAGCCUCUAAGCAUCAGGUAACAUCAAAUCGUACCCCAAACCGACACAGGUGGUCAGGUAGAGAAUACCAAGGCGCUUGAGAGAACUCGGGUGAAGGAACUAGGCAAAAUGGUGCCGUAACUUCGGGAGAAGGCACGCUGACACGUAGGUGAAGUGAUUUACUCAUGGAGCUGAAGUCAGUCGAAGAUACCAGCUGGCUGCAACUGUUUAUUAAAAACACAGCACUGUGCAAACACGAAAGUGGACGUAUACGGUGUGACGCCUGCCCGGUGCCGGAAGGUUAAUUGAUGGGGUCAGCGCAAGCGAAGCUCCUGAUCGAAGCCCCGGUAAACGGCGGCCGUAACUAUAACGGUCCUAAGGUAGCGAAAUUCCUUGUCGGGUAAGUUCCGACCUGCACGAAUGGCGUAAUGAUGGCCAGGCUGUCUCCACCCGAGACUCAGUGAAAUUGAACUCGCUGUGAAGAUGCAGUGUACCCGCGGCAAGACGGAAAGACCCCGUGAACCUUUACUAUAGCUUGACACUGAACAUUGAGCCUUGAUGUGUAG
This 1510-nucleotide ribosomal RNA is filed under the name Salmonella enterica. Its description in RNAcentral is "partial 23S ribosomal RNA". It matches the Rfam family "Bacterial large subunit ribosomal RNA", at positions 732 to 2141 of the family's 2925-position model. RNAcentral also lists the same sequence under 1 other name. Lineage: Bacteria; Pseudomonadati; Pseudomonadota; Gammaproteobacteria; Enterobacterales; Enterobacteriaceae. The record is from RNAcentral.